RNAcentral lists this ribosomal RNA (886 nucleotides) under Agaricus sp. ZRL2012474. RNAcentral describes it as "eukaryotic LSU rRNA". It matches the Rfam family "Eukaryotic large subunit ribosomal RNA", at positions 64 to 937 of the family's 3401-position model. The record is from RNAcentral. Lineage: Eukaryota; Fungi; Basidiomycota; Agaricomycetes; Agaricales; Agaricaceae.
ACUAACAAGGAUUCCCCUAGUAACUGCGAGUGAAGCGGGAAAAGCUCAAAUUUAAAAUCUGGCGGUCUUUGGCCGUCCGAGUUGUAAUCUAGAGAAGUAAUGCCCGUGCUGGACCGUGUAUAAGUCUCCUGGGAUGGGGCGUCAUAGAGGGUGAGAAUCCCGUCUUUGACACGGACUACCAGUGCAUUGUGGUAUGCUCUCAAAGAGUCGAGUUGUUUGGGAAUGCAGCUCAAAAUGGGUGGUAAAUUCCAUCUAAAGCUAAAUAUUGGCGAGAGACCGAUAGCGAACAAGUACCGUGAGGGAAAGAUGAAAAGAACUUUGGAAAGAGAGUUAAACAGUACGUGAAAUUGCUGAAAGGGAAACGCUUGAAGUCAGUCGCGUUGGCCGGGGAUCAGCCUUGCUUUUGCAUGGUGUACUUUCUGGUUGACGGGUCAGCAUCAAUUUUGACUGCUGGAAAAGGGCCUGGGGAAUGUGGCAGCUUCGGCUGUGUUAUAGCCCCUGGUCACAUACAGCGGUUGGGAUUGAGGAACUCAGCACGCCGCAAGGCCGGGUUUCGACCACGUUCGUGCUUAGGAUGCUGGCAUAAUGGCUUUAAGCGACCCGUCUUGAAACACGGACCAAGGAGUCUAACAUGCCUGCGAGUAUUUGGGUGAAAAACCCGAGUGCGCAAUGAAAGUGAAAGUUGAGAUCCCUGUCGUGGGGAGCAUCGACGCCCGGACCAGAACUUUUGGGACGGAUCCGCGGUGGAGCAUGUAUGUUGGGACCCGAAAGAUGGUGAACUAUGCCUGAAUAGGGUGAAGCCAGAGGAAACUCUGGUGGAGGCUCGUAGCGAUUCUGACGUGCAAAUCGAUCGUCAAAUUUGGGUAUAGGGGCGAAAGACUAAUCG